ACUGUACCUAAUAUAUACCUAUACGAUUUUUAUUCAUUUUCAGUAGUUGCAGUUAACUAUAUUGAGUGGUAAAUAUUUUUCAGAAUAUUUAUUAAAUAGUUUUAUUUUUACUUACUCGUACUCAUUUACACAUCUUUCUUUUUAAAUAUUUUAUAAACCAAGUUAUACAGUGUUAUUAUAAUAAUUUGAAAUGCCUAUACGUUUAUAAAUGUUUUUUCUUAAAACAUUAUAGGUAGGUAUAUCUUAUAUAUUUAAUGACCCAUGUUGCUUAUACUAGUUAUACUCACCUAUUACAAACACAAAAUAGUUUUUUAAGGUCUUAUCAAUGACUUAUUCAGUAUUUGUUCAUAAUAAUAUUAAUAUGUUAUACAUUUAUAAAUUAUAAAUCAAGUAAUUACAUUAUAUAUAUAAUAUAUUUUUAAAAUGUCAAAAUAAUUCAUAUUAAUAUGAAACUAACUUGGUAUAAUGUUUAUGCCACUGUGUAAAAAUAUUAUUUUUUAAUAUAAAAAUUUAAACUUUUUAUAAUUAUAUCGAUAAAUGUAUUAAAGUUGUGUAUUUACAGUAGCGUUACGAAUAUAUUUUUUUUAUCAAUUUUAUAUGUAAUAGUAAUUUUGUUAGUGUAAAAUAUAAAAAUAUUUUAACUAUCAUUAUUAAAUAAGUAAUAUGUCUAUUUAAUUCAGUGUAAUAAAUUAAUAAAUAAUAUUACACCAAUUUACUCUCAGAGUACAUUAUAUCUACCAAACGCGUUCUACAUUGUUUUGUGUAAUAGGGCAACUGUAGGGAAGAUAAUAUUAUUAAUAUUAUACUGUACGCGUUAAAUACUUUUAAUUGGAACUAUAUAGGUUACAUACUUACAUUAAUGUUAAUUUAUAUUAGUAUAUAAUAAUAUAAUAUAAUAUAAACAGGUUUUGAUUAUGUGUGAAAUAUGGACUGGUCGCGGAAUCACGAUGAAGAUCGAUAUGAAGAAAAUUUGCAGUUUCUUCGGCGGCGGUGCACUACUACGUAUAGUCUGAAGAUUGACACAACUCGGUUUCACUGGAACAGUCGACGCUUAAAUCUUGCCAUAAUAUCGGAAAAACAAAAAUACUGAAAUAAUUACGCUAUAUCCUUAUAUAAUGUCAACCCGGAGGACGAUUGGCAGUAUCAUUAGGAAGCUGAUGAAUAACGAAAAAAAGUGUCGCAGGGCUGUGUUUGUUUAAUACUAUAAUUUUUUGAACAGUAGUACAGUAUAUUAUGAAUAUUUACUUAAAUUAUAUUUUAUUUUUAUGGUUUUUUUUUCAGAUAAUAUACUGUACUACGGUUUUAGGUGUUCUUUUUAUUUUAAUAAUACGUUGAUAAAUUAUCAAUUUUUUCAAUUUUUUUUCUUAUCACAAAGCUAGUUCGUCUUUGUGUAUGUUUAAAUUUAUAUUUUUUAUAGUUAUUGUGCUGUUUAACUUUCUUAUAAAAGAGAGAGAGGAAUUAAAAAGGUGGCCACCGAACAGAAAGUUAAACUACAAUAUACUAUAAUCUUUUUAGUUCUUGUUUACAUUUUUAACUGAUAAAUUAUGAAUAUAAAAUUUCAAAUUAAUUUAAAUUCAAAAAUAAAAGAACACCAACAUAGAUUUCUUAAACAUUAAAAUUUUACUAUAAAUUUAAAUUACAUUUUAAUCAGCACAUUAGUUGAAGUUUUAUAGGAACCGAACAUUUGGCUGGAUCAUGGACUACCCACCGACGGAGAAUUUGUCAUUGAGCUGAAGGAAAAUGUGUCAGCACUCGGCUUCGUUUCAACUCGGAGGAAGAUUGGCAGCAUCAAUAAGAAGCUCAUCUUAAUGUCAACUGUCCAAAGGAUUUUGAAGAAGAAUUCGUCACAAAGCUGAUGGAAAAUGUGUCAGCACUCGGCUGUAUUUCAACACGGAGGACGUCUAGCAGCAGCAAAAAGAAAUUCAACUGAUAAUCAACUGUCCAAAGGAUUUUGAAGAAGAAUUUGUCACAAAGCUGAUGGGAAAUGUGUCGGCACUCGGCUUCGUUUCAACCCGGAGGAAGAUUGACAGCAUCAAUAAGAAGCUCAUCUUAAUUUAGUUGUCCCCCCUUUACGCAUAAGCGCUCAUCUCUCAUCCACUCAUCCAACACAUUGACUAUCGCCGGCCGGCAACACACAUAUAUUAUACACAUUACCCGUUUUAUAUUAUAUAGUAUUAUUAAUAUCCACAUAAUUUAAGUUAUUGUAUAUUUUUUUUUUAUUAUUUGAAUGCAUUCAUAUGAUCAGUAGCGUAUUUAGGAAUUUUAGGAUAAGGGCAACACAUAUUUUUCCGCCUCCCCCCCCCCCAUUAAAAAAAAUUAAAAAACUUCUACGCCGCGCAAUAGUGGCCAAACUGUUAAUACCAUAGAAUACCAUGUUAUAUAAAUAUUAUAGUAUUUUAUACCUCUAUGGCACACAUUUGUUGUGAAAAUUAUUAAUGAUUGACGUCACUGCGCCAGUACUCAUAAAGUACGAAAUAAAAAUUUUCCGUCCCUCUAAAUCUUUAAAAAAUUGCCGUUCUGGACAACUGGACCCAAAUCCCCUACCUAAAUACGCCCCUGCAUAUAAUGCGUUCUCGCUUACGAUGUGGAUUAGGCCUACUGGGGACACCACAAUAAAAAAACGCGCCUCGUGUAAUACCUCAUAAAUUUAUUAAAUAAUACGGACAAUGUCAUUGUACGUCGUUUAAUAAUAAAGGUGGUGUGGAAAAUUACCUAACACUGUUAUUCUGCGAGUGAAUCUGCCCCCUAAAACAUCAUAAGACAUCAGUACAUCAUUAUUAAAAGAUCUUUUUUAUUGACCAAAUUGUUGUGGGAUUUAUUUAGGUACUUAACAUUUAAUUCGUAAAAACCAAAUUGUAAAAUAAAAUUACCUGUAAAUUAAAUAUUGACAAGCCGAUAGCUUAUGAUGUUGUUAAGGUCUCGUUUCCAAAA
Molecule: long non-coding RNA, 2931 nt
Organism: Rhopalosiphum padi (bird cherry-oat aphid)
Lineage: Eukaryota; Metazoa; Arthropoda; Insecta; Hemiptera; Aphididae
Exons: 5
Source: RefSeq, a predicted model, not a curated record